CCUACGGGCGGCAGCAGUGAGGAAUAUUGGUCAAUGGACGAGAGUCUGAACCAGCCAAGUAGCGUGAAGGAUGACUGCCCUAUGGGUUGUAAACUUCUUUUAUAUGGGAAUAAAAUGUUCCACGUGUGGGAUUUUGUAUGUACCAUAUGAAUAAGGAUCGGCUAACUCCGUGCCAGCAGCCGCGGUAAUACGGAGGAUCCGAGCGUUAUCCGGAUUUAUUGGGUUUAAAGGGAGCGUAGGUGGAUUGUUAAGUCAGUUGUGAAAGUUUGCGGCUCAACCGUAAAAUUGCAGUUGAAACUGGCAGUCUUGAGUACUGUAGAGGUGGGCGGAAUUCGUGGUGUAGCGGUGAAAUGCUUAGAUAUCACGAAGAACUCCGAUUGCGAAGGCAGUUCACUGGACUGCAACUGACACUGAGGCUCGAAAGUGUGGGUAUCAAACAGGAUUAGAUACCCGGGUAGUC
RNAcentral lists this ribosomal RNA (460 nucleotides) under uncultured bacterium. RNAcentral describes it as "partial 16S ribosomal RNA". It matches the Rfam family "Bacterial small subunit ribosomal RNA", at positions 338 to 795 of the family's 1533-position model. The record is from RNAcentral.